UCCUGGGUGGCUCAGUCGGUUGAGCAUCUGACUUCGGCUCAGGUCAUGAUCUCGAGUCUGUGAGUUCGAGCCCCACAUUGGGAU
This 84-nucleotide transfer RNA is filed under the name Felis catus (domestic cat). It matches the Rfam family "tRNA". From Rfam's summary of the family: Transfer RNA (tRNA) molecules are approximately 80 nucleotides in length. Their secondary structure includes four short double-helical elements and three loops (D, anti-codon, and T loops). RNAcentral also lists the same sequence under 2 other names. The record is from Rfam by way of RNAcentral. Lineage: Eukaryota; Metazoa; Chordata; Mammalia; Carnivora; Felidae.